This 428-nucleotide ribosomal RNA is filed under the name uncultured bacterium. Its description in RNAcentral is "partial 16S ribosomal RNA". It matches the Rfam family "Bacterial small subunit ribosomal RNA", at positions 354 to 796 of the family's 1533-position model. The record is from RNAcentral.
GUGGGGAAUAUUGGGCAAUGGGCGGAAGCCUGACCCAGCGACGCCGCGUGGGGGAAGAAGUCUUUCGGGAUGUAAACCCUUGUUGUACGGGACGAAGGAAGUGACGGUACCAUGGGAGGAAGCCCCGGCUAACUACGUGCCAGCAGCCGCGGUAAGACGUAGGGGGCAAGCGUUGUCCGGAAUUACUGGGCGUAAAGGGUGCGUAGGCGGCAAUGCAAGUCUAAUGUGAAAUCCCCGUGCUUAACAUGGGGAUUGCAAUAGAAACUGUAUAGCUAGAGUGCAGGAGAGGUAAGUGGAAUUCCUAGUGUAGCGGUGAAAUGCAUAGAUAUUAGGAGGAACACCAGUGGCGAAGGCGACUUACUGGACUGUAACUGACGCUGAAGCACGAAAGCGUGGGGAGCGAACAGGAUUAGAAACCCUUGUAGUCC